AUAGUCUGAAAAUUACUUUGGGUGUAUCAGUGGCCUGGAGUAAGAUAACUGUGCCAACAGAAAGGGGGCACAUUAAGCUUAUUGCCAACUCUUCCUGGUUGAGCAAUGAAACCCAUGUGCCUACAAAC
Molecule: small nucleolar RNA, 128 nt
Organism: Chanos chanos (milkfish)
Lineage: Eukaryota; Metazoa; Chordata; Actinopteri; Gonorynchiformes; Chanidae
Product: small nucleolar RNA ACA64
Exons: 1
Source: RefSeq, a predicted model, not a curated record